CGAACGGGGACAGACGGAAACCUAGUGAAGUCUGUCCGAGUGGCGGACGGGUGAGUAACGCGUGGAUAACCUGCCGCAUGCAGGGGGAUACCGGCUGGAAACAGCCGCUAAUACCGCAUAAGCGCACGGUGCCGCAUGGCAGAGUGCGAAAAGGAGAAAUCCGGCAAGCGAUGGAUCCGCGUCCGAUUAGCCAGUUGGCGGGGUAAGGGCCCACCAAAGCGACGAUCGGUAGCCGGCCUGAGAGGGCGGACGGCCACAUUGGGACUGAGACACGGCCCAGACUCCUACGGGAGGCAGCAGUGGGGGAUAUUGCACAAUGGGGGAAACCCUGAUGCAGCGACGCCGCGUGGGUGAAGAAGUAUUUCGGUAUGUAAAGCCCUAUCAGCAGGGAAGAAAGAAGACGGUACCUGACUAAGAAGCCCCGGCUAACUACGUGCCAGCAGCCGCGGUAAUACGUAGGGGGCGAGCGUUAUCCGGAUUCACUGGGUGUAAAGGGAGCGUAGACGGCCGUGCAAGCCAGGAGUGAAAGCCCGGGGCCCAACCCCGGGACUGCUCUUGGAACUGUGCGGCUGGAGUGCG
Molecule: ribosomal RNA, 579 nt
Filed under: uncultured bacterium
Lineage: Bacteria
Description: bacterial SSU rRNA
Rfam family: Bacterial small subunit ribosomal RNA
Source: RNAcentral